AGCGGGCUGGGCGAUCGCGGCGCCCCCAUGGGGCGAUGAGGAAAGUCCGGGCUCCGCAGGGCAGGAUGCCGGCUAACGGCCGGGCGGGGCGACCCGACGGAAAGUGCCACAGAAAAGAAGACUCCCGCGCCACGCGCGAGAAAAGCUGAAACGGUGCGGUAAGAGCGCACCAGCGCCGCAGCAAUGCGUCGGCUUGGCAAACCCCAUCCGGAGCAAGGGCAAAUAGGGACGCUAUGGGCUGGCCCGGCUCGCGUCCGGGUUGCCUGCUAGAGGGUGCCGGCAACGGCUCCCGUAGAUAAAUGACCGCCUUCAACGACAGAACCCGGCUUACAGGCCCGCUU
This 341-nucleotide RNase P RNA is filed under the name pig gut metagenome. RNAcentral's name for it is "Bacterial RNase P class A". It matches the Rfam family "Bacterial RNase P class A". From Rfam's summary of the family: Ribonuclease P (RNase P) is a ubiquitous endoribonuclease, found in archaea, bacteria and eukarya as well as chloroplasts and mitochondria. Its best characterised activity is the generation of mature 5'-ends of tRNAs by cleaving the 5'-leader elements of precursor-tRNAs. Cellular RNase Ps are ribonucleoproteins. The record is from RNAcentral.